AAAAUUAACAAAGUCGAACAGACUUAAAAUUUAAAACUCUUUUUUUAACCAAUUUUAAUCCAACAUCGAGGUCACAAUCUUUAAUUUAAAUAAAUUCUUUAAAUUAAAAUUAUG
This 114-nucleotide ribosomal RNA is filed under the name Setodes angulatus (nomen nudum). RNAcentral describes it as "partial 16S ribosomal RNA". Lineage: Eukaryota; Metazoa; Arthropoda; Insecta; Trichoptera; Leptoceridae. The record is from RNAcentral.